GAUGAACGCUGGCGGCGUGCCUAAUACAUGCAAGUCGAGCGAACAGACGAGGAGCUUGCUCCUCUGACGUUAGCGGCGGACGGGUGAGUAACACGUGGAUAACCUACCUAUCAUACUGGGAUAACUUCGGGAAACCGGAGCUAAUACCGGAUAAUAUCUUGAACCGCAUGGUUCAAUAGUGAAAGACGGUUUUGCUGUCACUUAUGGAUGGAUCGGCGCCGCAUUAGCUGGUUGGUAGGGUAACGGCUUACCAAGGCAACGAUGGGUAGCCGGCCUGAGCGGGUGACCGGCCACAGUGGGACUGAGAUAGGGCGCAGACUGCUACGGGAGGCAGCAGAGGGGAAUAUUGCAGAAUGGGCGGAAGCCUGAGGCAGCAAAGGCGCGUGGGGGAUGAAGGCCUUCGGGUUGUAAACCGCUAACGGCUGUGACGAAGCGUGAGGGACGGUAAGGGGUAAAGAAGAAAGGGCUGGCUAAGUG
RNAcentral lists this ribosomal RNA (477 nucleotides) under uncultured bacterium. RNAcentral describes it as "partial 16S ribosomal RNA". It matches the Rfam family "Bacterial small subunit ribosomal RNA", at positions 28 to 507 of the family's 1533-position model. The record is from RNAcentral.